Molecule: transfer RNA, 90 nt
Filed under: Arthrobacter sp. NicSoilE8
Lineage: Bacteria; Bacillati; Actinomycetota; Actinomycetes; Micrococcales; Micrococcaceae
Also listed under: 1 other name
Description: tRNA-Ser
Source: RNAcentral
CCGCUGGUGGUGGACACCAUCUGCCGCGACUGGCGGCUGGCAGGCAACGACGACGGCGCGCGGCUGGUUCCGGAGUCCGGCUUGCCGGCC